GAUGAACGCUGGCGGCGUGCCUAAUACAUGCAAGUCGAGCGAACGGACGAGAAGCUUGCUUCUCUGAUGUUAGCGGCGGACGGGUGAGUAACACGUGGAUAACCUACCUAUAAGACUGGGAUAACUUCGGGAAACCGGAGCUAAUACCGGAUAAUAUUUUGAACCGCAUGGUUCAAAAGUGAAAGACGGUCUUGCUGUCACUUAUAGAUGGAUCCGCGCUGCAUUAGCUAGUUGGUAAGGUAACGGCUUACCAAGGCAACGAUGCGUAGCCGACCUGAGAGGGUGAUCGGCCACACUGGAACUGAGACACGGUCCAGACUCCUACGGGAGGCAGCAGUAGGGAAUCUUCCGCAAUGGGCGAAAGCCUGACGGAGCAACGCCGCGUGAGUGAUGAAGGUCUUCGGAUCGUAAAACUCUGUUAUUAGGGAAGAACAUAUGUGUAAGUAACUAUGCACAUCUUGACGGUACCUAAUCAGAAAGCCACGGCUAACUACGUG
RNAcentral lists this ribosomal RNA (497 nucleotides) under uncultured bacterium. Its description in RNAcentral is "partial 16S ribosomal RNA". It matches the Rfam family "Bacterial small subunit ribosomal RNA", at positions 28 to 507 of the family's 1533-position model. The record is from RNAcentral.